This is a long non-coding RNA of Dendroctonus ponderosae (mountain pine beetle), 430 nucleotides long. RefSeq lists it as uncharacterized. NCBI's taxonomy places the organism in Eukaryota, Metazoa, Arthropoda, Insecta, Coleoptera, Curculionidae. The record is from RefSeq and is a predicted model, not a curated record. The transcript has 2 exons.
AGCAAUGACUUGUUUUCUAGUCUACCGCGAUGUAGUUCAGAGGUAAAAUGUCUAAAAUUCUCUAAAUUGAUGGCACUUAAAGUAAUCGUGAGUUAGCCAUAGUAGGCCGUCUGAAAUUAGUGAAAGGUACCCGCAUCUUGGUUCUUCCACCUUCAAUUCAUCGCGUAAAAAGAGAAACAACGGUACUCCAUGUGCAACAGGUCUGCCUCGGAACAGCGGCGGUACCGCCAGUAAAAGUUCUUCUAAUACUGGAAGCUCGGCGUAACGACUGGGAACCAUCCAGUCCAACGACAGAACCACUGAAGCAAGAUGCGCCUAAUCCUCGUACAGCUACGAAGAGUUUACUAAUAUCCUCUCUGAAAUAGCCCGAAAACUCAUAUUAUAUAAAAGGCUUUACUAUCGAUUCAAUAAAAAAAAAUAUUAAACACCA